CAGUAGCCACGGUAAUACGGAGGGAGCUAGCGUUAUUCGGAAUUACUGGGCGUAAAGCGCACGUAGGCGGCUUUGUAAGUAAGAGGUGAAAGCCCGGAGCUCAACUCCGGAACUGCCUUUUAGACUGCAUCGCUUGAAUCCAGGAGAGGUGAGUGGAAUUCCGAGUGUAGAGGUGAAAUUCGUAGAUAUUCGGAAGAACACCAGUGGCGAAGGCGGCUCACUGGACUGGUAUUGACGCUGAGGUGCGAAAGCGUGGGGAGCAAACAGGAUUAGAUACCCCCGUAGUCCCUGUCUCUUAUAA
This 301-nucleotide ribosomal RNA is filed under the name uncultured bacterium. Its description in RNAcentral is "partial 16S ribosomal RNA". It matches the Rfam family "Bacterial small subunit ribosomal RNA", at positions 509 to 809 of the family's 1533-position model. The record is from RNAcentral.